Molecule: ribosomal RNA, 207 nt
Filed under: uncultured bacterium
Lineage: Bacteria
Description: partial 16S ribosomal RNA
Rfam family: Bacterial small subunit ribosomal RNA
Source: RNAcentral
UCUGUAGGUGGUUUAAUAAGUCAACUGUUAAAUCUUGAGGCUCAACCUCAAAAUCGCAGUCGAAACUAUUAGACUAGAGUAUAGUAGGGGUAAAGGGAAUUUCCAGUGGAGCGGUGAAAUGCGUAGAUAUUGGAAGGAACACCGAUGGCGGAGGCACUUUACUGGGCUAUUACUAACACUCAGAGACGAAAGCUAGGGUAGCAAAUG